UACGUAGGGUGCAAGCGUUGUCCGGAAUUAUUGGGCGUAAAGAGCUCGUAGGCGGUUUGUCGCGUCCGCUGUGAAAACUCAGGGCUUAACCCUGAGCCUGCAGUGGGUACGGGCAGACUAGAGUGUGGUAGGGGAGAUCGGAAUUCCUGGUGUAGCGGUGGAAUGCGCAGAUAUCAGGAGGAACACCGGUGGCGAAGGCGGAUCUCUGGGCCAUAACUGACGCUGAGACACGAAAGCGUGGGUAGCAAACAGG
RNAcentral lists this ribosomal RNA (253 nucleotides) under uncultured bacterium. RNAcentral describes it as "partial 16S ribosomal RNA". It matches the Rfam family "Bacterial small subunit ribosomal RNA", at positions 524 to 776 of the family's 1533-position model. The record is from RNAcentral.